Xiphophorus hellerii (green swordtail) is the source of this 466-nucleotide long non-coding RNA. RefSeq lists it as uncharacterized. The transcript has 2 exons. Lineage: Eukaryota; Metazoa; Chordata; Actinopteri; Cyprinodontiformes; Poeciliidae. The record is from RefSeq and is a predicted model, not a curated record.
UUAGAGGUUGAAUUACAAGAAAGCUCUCUCUAUCGUUAGCAUUAACAGCCAGCGCUACACCGAGCAUAGUCAUCAUCAGCAUCUCUCUUACUCUCUAGGAAACAAUCCUCGACUCUGAAUAGUGGCUUAGCCCGCUGGUUACAUUUAUUAGGUGCUUUUAAUCCACUGCAGUGGAGAACAGAGCCAGCAUAACCUCUGUCUAAACAUUCACGUCACAUCUUUGGAUCUUUUUUUUGUGUGUGUGCGUGUGUGUGUGUUCAAACUUAAACAACGGCUACAGAUAUCAUUAUAGAGGAUGGUAGUAAACAUCCAACAAACCGUGGUUUUAACACAUCGAGGUCAUGUGUCAUUUUUUUGUUUUUGUGUGCUGAGGUAAAGCUGUGCACUGUAAAACCUUGGCAUAAUUCAUGUGAUCUUGGAUUGAAUUCUUUAAAAAAAAAAAAAAAUUCCCUUUUGGGCAUGUCGA